GUGUGACUCGAUGCCAGAGCAGAGGGGGAUGGAGCAGCACAGGGGUUCUGUGCUGUCCAGAGAGCGUGGGCGCUGGUUCUCCCCAGAUUGGCCCCUUCUCCCUCUCCCCCGGCCCCUCGGGGGAGGGGUGCAGGCGGCUGUCCCCCAUCUCCUGCAGACGGGGGCCAUAGGACCAGUCCCAGAGAGGGGACAGGGUCUGUACUUCAUCCUGGCCCUGCGCAAGGAGAAAUUUGGGUAAUAGGACCGUGCUCGGUCUGGAACAUCUCUGGGAGAGCCCUGGGCAGCCCCAAUUCAAGACAGAUGUUUAAGUCCCACCCUGGCGGUGAUCCGCAAAGGGCCUGUCUGUGCUCCAUGGAGCUGAGACACAGCCCUGCCCACCCCCCUUCGUCAGCGUCACCUCAGAGCUCGGUGUCACCCCUGCAUCCCAGCGCGUCCGGUUCAGCUCCUCGCCCGUCAGCCUCGCCGCAGCCCCCGGUUCCUGCCACGGGUUCAUUGUCAGGGUCACUGCCCUCAGACAGGAAGGGGUCACCUCUGGCCAUCCUCAGCGACGCUCCAGCCAGAGGGUGAGCCCCACAAACCACUUCCCAGGCACUCCGGAUCCCGGGACCGCGGGUUCAUUCUGCGCCGGGAAGAGAGACGCCUGGGCCCCACCCCACGGAGAGCUCGCCUGGGGCUGGGAAUGACCCACCGUCUCUCGGGUUAUUGCUCAGGAGAGAAGGGACAAUUCCCUGCUUUGCUCAGGACGGCCAGCAGCCUGCAGGAGGUCGCAGCCUGCCCCAGUGUCACUGCUGGGUGUGUUGUGUGUGGACACACUGGGGUGAGUGCACACAAGAGCUCCAGUCGUUUCUGCUGUCCCUGCCUGCUCACACCUUGGUGUGUCCAACCAGGAGAGUCUGGCUUCCCCAGAGCCUCAGCACCUCUCAGAUGGGGCUCAGCACCUGUCGUUUCCUGUAGCCAGGCCGGACAGGAGAGUCUGGCUUCCCCAGAGCCUCAGCACCUCUCGGAUGGGGCUCAGCACCUGUCGUUUCCUGUAGCCGGGCCGGACAGGAGAAUCUGGCUUCCCCGGAGCCUCAGCAUCUCUCGGAUGGGGCUCAGCACCUGUCGUUUCCUGUAGCCGGGCCGGACAGGAGAGUGCUAUGGGCAGUGCCAGCCUGUGGGGCUGGGCGCUUGCGUGGAGUUCAGCUCAGUACAGAGCAGGGGAGGGAACCUGGCAUGAAGUGGGUGCAGCUCGAGGUGAUUGGCUGCGGGCUCUGGCCCUGUCCCCAGGGUUGAACAGCUCCCUCCUCCUACUCUGACCUGACACCAGCGCAGUGCCCUGUGUCAGCGAACAGGGUGGGACGAGGUCGUCACACCAGCAGGAGGAAGCCGACCCUCUGAUGUCCUGUGUGGAGCGAAGCCCCCAGCGUGGUCGAGGAAUGAGGUGUGACGAGCGACGCAGGGAAGAGCUGGCUCAGGUGUUUGGGAGCCUGCGCUCAGACGUGCUUCUGUUCCUAGUGAGGGAAUUUCCAGUCUCACUGAGAGACCCAUUUGUGUCUCACCCACGCUGCAGGGUCCCUCCUUUCCCGGCUGGAAGGGAUCCCACUGGCAUCCAGGAAACCUUGCACCGGGUCUGCCUGAUUUAGAGCCGGGGGCAGUUCAAGCCCUGCUGCAGGAGACGGAGCUUCUCUGCUUCUUCACCGGCUCUAAUGUAGGUCUUGGAAUUCCUGCAGGAGGGUCGGACCCAGGGCUUGGCCGUCUGUGUCACUUCGAGUGGCUGCUCUCCCUGGGCAGGCAGAGGGUCUCUGUACUGGGAUAUCCAGCGUUUGCUCCCAGCUGCAUCCUGGCUUCAUCCUUCUGCCAGUUGGGGCUCGCGGCACCACUUCUCUUCGCCGGUGCCCAAGGACAGGAACCGCGGGCACUAAGACAUGAGCCGCUCCCCGACACCGAAAGGGGACAGGCAAGGAGACCGGGACAGUGCGUGACCCACGCCAGGCUGCUCUCCCUCACCGGCAUCACUGCAGCCGCUGUUAAAGACACCCACGCGGGUCCCUCGUACCUCACCACGGGAUGCACCACCCUCCUGCUGUCAGCGUACCAGACACUUCACGGUACCAACCACCCCAGGGGCGUACGCGGCAACUAUGGACCUGCUUACACUGCCGGUACCAUGGUCCCUGGACGUCCAGGACUUGGCAUCGUCGGCAAGAGACCCUACCCGGCUAUAGAACGGCUCCAAGACCACUCUCCAAGGGAAACCCCCUCUGGUCACUUUGCCCAGGGAGUCCCCAUGACACCGACACCGGGAGGGUCGGCACUGCCAUGGUCUCCUCGCUUCAUAUCGUCAGGACCAUCCACACUGUUCUCCAUGGCCAUCUUACACAACAGGGACAUCUAGUGCGAUGGGGUCCCGAACACUGGGACCGGGGGCUGACACCCAUGCAGGGGCCUUUCUGGAACUUGUGGGGGUUUCCGCCACCUCAGGGCACCGGCUCCAGGCACUCUGACUCAGUGGCCUCAGAGCAGAGCCCCUCCAGUACUGCACCGAGACACACCAGACCCGAAUCCCAGUACGCCUCUCAGCACCGAGCAGCUGAAGCAGGUUCCCCACUCAGAGGAGAGAGCAGAGACCUUAACAGCUUUACCCACCUCCUCCUCUUUGCCAGAUGAGGCGCUGGUGGCCUCAGAGGUGCCCCACCCCAGGGUGAGCACAAAGCCCACCAGGACUUAUCGAAGCGAGUGGCACAAAACUGGUGUCCAGGCAGAGGUGGUGAAAGAGUCACUCAGGCCUUCCCGGCUAGCUGUGUGGCAGCAGGCCCCUCAUCACUCUUCCCCUACGUGAGGCGAUCCCAGAGCCCACUGAGGCUCUGGCAGAACCCAGCCUCCCUCCCUGCUAAGCGAACGGAGCAGGAAUAUUUUGUACCUGCCAAGGGCUGAGAAUUUUUAUUCUCUCUCUCACAAUCACGCAUCCCUAGUCGUGGCAGCUGCUGAAGAAAGGGACCAUCAAGUUCAAACGGGGCCCACAGGAAAUGCAAAGGAUCCCCAAAGUUGGCCUUGUUCUGGAGGAAACCCCCUUGCUGGGGGGAUUGCAGCUCCACGUGGCGACCCAGCAGGCCUGGCUGGGUCGCUGUGAUUUUUGCAAGUGGGAAGCGAUGCAGAAAUGGCAGGACCUGCUCCCUUAGGGCGCCCAGUUGGAGUUCCCUGCCCUUGUGCAGGAAGGGAGAGCAGUGGCCUGGGCCUCUCUGUAGGCAGCCCUGGAUGUCAUGGGUUCUGCGGCCAGGUCAGUGGCCACGGUUGUCACCACGCGCAGGAGCUCGGGGUUACAAACUCUGGGAUUUCCACAGGAUAUGCAGCAGAUGACCCAGGACCUCCCAUUUGAAGGUUCCUCGCUCUGUUCAGAGCAGACAGACACCAGACUCUAGGGCAGCACUGAAAUCCCUGGGCCUGCACUCGCCCGCAUGAGCUAGAAGGCACUAUAGGCCCCAGCAAUACAGACAAUGCUGUUCUCCACUGCCCAGACACCAGCAGUGGAGGAGACAGAACAAGGGGUUUGCGUAUAGGCCCCUUCCACCCUCCUCCUCCACGGGGCCAUCCCAGUCGGCUCCUCGUUGUUUCAGCAUCUCAAAGCCUUCGUUUCGACAUGGUGCUUGAGAACGACAUACCAGUCCCUCCACACCAGGAUCCAGUCACCCCUGUAUCUUCCAACCGUCCUAUUCCUCAGUGCCUGGGAACACAUUUACCUCGGAGCGCAGGGUCCUAAACACAGUGGAAUCUGGGUAUAGCCUCCAAAUUUUGUCUACUUCUUCCCACCCACCCACUCUCCCCGUCCCUCUUCAGGGACCCUUCUCACAAGCAUUGGUUGGAGCAGGAGAUACAAUCCUCCUUUGGAUGGGAGUCGUGGGAGAGGUUCCGCACUCACUAAGGGGGAAGGGUCUCUAUUCCCAUUAACUUCCUCAUCUCCAAAGCCAAGGGAGAUCUCAGACCAGUCCUAGCCCUGCCUCGGCUCAACCACUGUCUCAGAAAGUGAAAGUUCUGCAUGGUCUCCUUGGCCUCCAUCAUCCUGUGGCUGAAUCCAGGGGACUGGUCUGAUGCCCUCGACUUGAAAGGUCCAUACUUCCACGUAUUAAUUUUCCAGGGCCACGGAAGGUGUCUAAAAUUUGUGGUAAACCAGACCCAUUAGCAAGUCGCAGCCCUGCCAUUCGGUCUGUCGGCCGCCCCGGCAGCCUUCACCCAGUGUGUGGCAGUAGUAGGGGCCUUUCUGAGAAGGAAUCUGUUUUUUCCCAUAUCUCAACGAUUGGUUGAUGAGGUUGGUCCCGAUCUCAGGUGGAGCCCGACAUCGACCUCAUACAAUCCACCUUCCAGGCGUUGGGUCUGCUGAGAAACGUACAGAAGUCGACACUUAUUCCUGUGCAAAGAAUCGAGUUCACUGAGUCAGUUCUUGACUCGGUGGAGGCGAAGGCCCUUCUGGCGCACCGCUUCUGUACAGCCUGGGCCCUGAUAACCCCCCUGCAGACACAUCCGUCACGACUCCUCAGCCACAUGGCAUCAGGCGUGUACAUGGUUUGACACGUGAGGCUGAGACUCAGACUUUUCCAGCCUGACUGGCUGCGGUACACUCCCCUUCCGGAUAUCAUCUGGGCACAGCUCUCACUGUACCAGCUUGAGGCCUGGAGAGGGUAUUUCCCUCAGAUGAAGGAACCGAUCCCCCCCAAGACCUGAACCUUGUCCUCACAAAGCCGACGGGCCCAGCCUUGGAGCCGCUAGCACCAUGCACACUGCUGCACCCCUGUGGGAAGGUCGCCUUUCCGAUUCCCAUCAUGUCGGCUAGACGAGUGUCAGAGAUCCGAGCCCUCACCGUGGAGCCCCCAGACACAAUCUCCUUUAGAGACAGUCCAGCUACGCCCACAUCCAGAGUUCCUCGCAAAAGUGGGCUCCCCAGUUCCACGUGAACUAGCUGAUUUUUCUCCCGGUCCUGUACCCUGAGCUGCACGCAGACCGAGCAGGACAAGGCCUGCACUCGCUGGAUGCUAGAUGGGUGCUGGCAUUUGACAUUCGGGGACUAAACCCUUCCCGUAAAUCCCUGCAGCUUUCCACAGUGCUAGCGGGAAGAACAAGGGGGCUCCCCAUCUCUGCUCUGAGGAUUUCGUCUUGGGUUACAUCGUGGGUCCAGGUGUCUUCUGACCUCAUGGACAUUCCCCAUCUGCCGAAGGUCACUGCUCACGUCACAAGGUCUCAGUUCUCUUCAGUGGCCUUUCUAGCGCAAGUCCCUACUCAGUAUAUCUGCAGCGCUGCGACCUGCUCCUCGGCGCACACGUUCUCAGCACGCUGAGCCGUCACUCAGCAGGCCAGGGACAAUGCAUGCUCUGGCCGUGCUGUGCUGCAGCGUAGCCUGACUUGGGGUGUGUUAGUAGUGUUGAUUUAAUUUAUCCGCUUAAUUUAAUUGUAUUUAAUUUUUAAUUAAUAAAUAAUUUUUAUAAUUA
Molecule: long non-coding RNA, 5456 nt
Organism: Gopherus evgoodei (Goodes thornscrub tortoise)
Lineage: Eukaryota; Metazoa; Chordata; Testudines; Testudinidae
Exons: 2
Source: RefSeq, a predicted model, not a curated record